GGAGCCUACGGGACGCAGCAGUGAGGAAUAUUGGUCAAUGGGCGCGAGCCUGAACCAGCCAAGUCGCGUGAGGGAAGACGGUCCUAUGGAUUGUAAACCUCUUUUGUCGGGGAGCAAAAGACGCCACGCGUGGCGUUCCGAGAGUACCCGAAGAAAAAGCAUCGGCUAACUCCGUGCCAGCAGCCGCGGUAAUACUGAGGAUGCGAGCGUUAUCCGGAUUUAUUGGGUUUAAAGGGAGCGCAGGCGGAAGAUCAAGUCAGCGGUAAAAUUGAGAGGCUCAACCUCUUCGAGCCGUUGAAACUGGG
This 305-nucleotide ribosomal RNA is filed under the name uncultured bacterium. RNAcentral's name for it is "bacterial SSU rRNA". It matches the Rfam family "Bacterial small subunit ribosomal RNA", at positions 333 to 637 of the family's 1533-position model. The record is from RNAcentral.